This 73-nucleotide transfer RNA is filed under the name Bos taurus (domestic cattle). It matches the Rfam family "tRNA". From Rfam's summary of the family: Transfer RNA (tRNA) molecules are approximately 80 nucleotides in length. RNAcentral also lists the same sequence under 3 other names. Lineage: Eukaryota; Metazoa; Chordata; Mammalia; Artiodactyla; Bovidae. The record is from Rfam by way of RNAcentral.
UUCCUGGUGGUCCAUUGGCUAGGACUUUGCCCUCCCAACACAGGGGGCCCAGGUUCAAACCCUGGUCAAGGAA